CCAAACACCUGGACUAAUUUUACAUUAUAAAUAUUCCCUCACAACCUGACAACUUGUGAACAAAUCAUUUUUCCACCUGAGUACGGGCGACGGAAAGGGAGCAAAUUGAGCGACAGAGAAAGUACCGCAAGGGAAAGCUGAAAAAGAAGUGAAACAACCCAUAUAAGCACCAUAAAGCAAAGAUUAAAGCUU
RNAcentral lists this ribosomal RNA (192 nucleotides) under Plecoglossus altivelis (ayu). Its description in RNAcentral is "partial large subunit ribosomal RNA". Lineage: Eukaryota; Metazoa; Chordata; Actinopteri; Osmeriformes; Plecoglossidae. The record is from RNAcentral.